Molecule: non-coding RNA, 148 nt
Filed under: Nomascus leucogenys (northern white-cheeked gibbon)
Lineage: Eukaryota; Metazoa; Chordata; Mammalia; Primates; Hylobatidae
Source: Rfam by way of RNAcentral
GCUGGGCGUGGUGGCAUGCGCCUGUAAUCCCAGGUACUCAGGAGGCUGAGGCAGGAGAAUCGCUUGAGCCUGGGAGGCAGAGGUUGCAGUGAGCAGACACAGUGCCACUGCACUCCAGCCUAGGCGACAGAGUGAGACUCUGUCUCAA